CAAUAGCGUAUAUUAAAGUUGUUGCAGUUAAAAAGCUCGUAGUUGAAUUUCUGUACAGUCCCAAUUUUGGCUUCGGUCAGGUUGUGGAUUGUGCAUCCGCUUGCAAAUCUAGUUCGGCAUUCACUUGUUGGCUAGGGGAGUAAGCUUUUUACUUUGAAAAAAUUAGAGUGUUUCAAGCAGGCAAUGGCUCGAAUACAUUAGCAUGGAAUAAUGGAAUAGGACUUUUGUCCAUUUGAUUGGUUAUUGGACUUAGGUAAUGAUUAAAAGGGACAGUUGGGGGCAUUAGUAUUUAAUUGUCAGAGGUGAAAUUCUUGGAUUUAUUAAAGACUAACUUAUGCGAAAGCAUUUGCCAAGGAUGUUUUCAUUA
This 367-nucleotide ribosomal RNA is filed under the name uncultured eukaryote. RNAcentral's name for it is "partial 18S ribosomal RNA". It matches the Rfam family "Eukaryotic small subunit ribosomal RNA", at positions 592 to 975 of the family's 1831-position model. The record is from RNAcentral.